RNAcentral lists this non-coding RNA (132 nucleotides) under pig gut metagenome. Its description in RNAcentral is "glmS glucosamine-6-phosphate activated ribozyme". It matches the Rfam family "glmS glucosamine-6-phosphate activated ribozyme aptamer", at positions 10 to 157 of the family's 167-position model. Rfam says of the family: This entry contains a glucosamine-6-phosphate activated ribozyme that is found in the mRNA for GlmS. GlmS is an enzyme that uses fructose-6-phosphate and glutamine to generate glucosamine-6-phosphate. The ribozyme catalyses self cleavage of the glmS mRNA that is thought to regulate GlmS activity. The record is from RNAcentral.
UACAAAGCGCCUGGACUCUAUUGAGUUGACGAGGUCUAGAGUUAUCGAAAAAUUCGGCGGAUGCUCUAGUGGAUUUACUUAACCCAUAGUAUUAAUUAAAAAUCAAUAGAAAUAUUGUAACAGAGAUUAAUA